Molecule: ribosomal RNA, 451 nt
Filed under: uncultured bacterium
Lineage: Bacteria
Description: bacterial SSU rRNA
Rfam family: Bacterial small subunit ribosomal RNA
Source: RNAcentral
GAUGAACGCUGGCGGCAGGUCUUAGGCAUGCAAGUCGAACGGGUGAAACAGGUGCUUGCACUUGUGGAUCUAGUGGCGCACGAGUGAGUAACGCGUGGGAAACUGCCCACUACUGGGGAAUAACGUUUGGAAACGAACGCUAAUACCGCAUACGCCGGAAACGGGAAAGAUUUAUCGGUGGUGGAUGUGCCCGCGUUGGAUUAGCUUGUUGGUGGGGUAACGGCCUACCAAGGCGAUGAUUGGUAGCCGACCUGAGAGGGUGAUCGGCCACAUUGGGACUGAGACACGGCCCAAACUCCUACGGGAGGCAGCAGUGGGGAAUAUUGGGCAAUGGGGGGAACCCUGACCCAGCAACGCCGCGUGGAGGAAGAAGGUUUUCGGAUCGUAAACUCCUGUCCUCAGGGAAGAGCAGAAGACGGUACCUGAGGAGGAAGCCCCGGCUAACUACGUG